GGAUGGAUGGAUUUAAUAUGUCACUGGACAGAAAUGGAUACAAUCUCAGAUGUAAAAUACAUUUAUUUUGAUUAACCAAGCAGUGAUGGUCAGCUCUGUCAGCCUGUUCAGGAUGUACCCCACGUCAGCACCUGUUUGUUUUCAGCUUCUCCAAAACAUUACUGUAAAAUAAAUCUUUUUGUAUUGAAACUCUAAUUGGCAAACAGAAGACAUCUGAACAUGAUCCUUAUCAUUAUCAGUCACAAUUAAACUGUUUUUAGUAGCUAGAAGUUUUGUCUCCUGUUUAGUGGAUUCUAAAAUAAUAAAAUCUAUUCUGUUUCAAUGUUAUUUAUGUAGCACAAAAUCACAACACUCACCUGAAGGUGCUUUAUAUUGUAAGGUAAAGAUGCAACAAUAACAGAUCAAAUUAUUACCUCAAUCCCAGUGUUUUUUUUAAUAAUAUUAACAAAAUGUCCGUUUUUAUAAAUAGUACAGGUAUAAUGUGGUCUGACACUAUAUUUUGGGUUUUGUUGCAGACAGUGUUUUUCUUCACUGUAGAUUCUUGAACACUUGAGUUUUUGGACACUUUGUGCUGAAGAGGCAGCUGAAACAUCUGGUACUGUUGUGGUGAUGCUCCAGAGGGUGCACACAGCACUGAGGAGCCUGUGGAAAAAUCAAGAACUGAGACCGACAGCUGUAGAUGUGGAUCUGCCGUGCUCAUUUCAACGACAAGCAGAAGAAUGCAAUGAAGAAAUGGUGUGAGUGGCGUCAGUGCUGCCAGCUGUGGUCACACAUGUGGUUUCAA
Archocentrus centrarchus (flier cichlid) is the source of this 784-nucleotide long non-coding RNA. RefSeq lists it as uncharacterized. The transcript has 3 exons. The record is from RefSeq and is a predicted model, not a curated record. NCBI's taxonomy places the organism in Eukaryota, Metazoa, Chordata, Actinopteri, Cichliformes, Cichlidae.